This 209-nucleotide ribosomal RNA is filed under the name uncultured Methanosaeta sp. RNAcentral describes it as "partial 16S ribosomal RNA". It matches the Rfam family "Archaeal small subunit ribosomal RNA", at positions 1130 to 1338 of the family's 1478-position model. The record is from RNAcentral. Lineage: Archaea; Methanobacteriati; Methanobacteriota; Methanomicrobia; Methanotrichales; Methanotrichaceae.
AAUGGGCAACGGUAGGUCAGUAUGCCCCGAACUAUCCCGGGCUACACGCGAGCUACAAUGGUUGGUACAAUGGGUAUCUACCCCGAAAGGGGACGGGAAUCUCCUAAACCAAUCUUAGUUCGGAUUGAGGGCUGCAACUCGCCCUCAUGAAGCUGGAAUCCGUAGUAAUCGCGUUUCAACAGAACGCGGUGAAUACGUCCCUGCUCCUU